Molecule: ribosomal RNA, 434 nt
Filed under: uncultured archaeon
Lineage: Archaea
Description: bacterial SSU rRNA
Rfam family: Archaeal small subunit ribosomal RNA
Source: RNAcentral
GGACCUGACUGCUAUCGGAUUGAUACUAAGCCAUGCGAGUCAUUGUAGUAAUACAAGGCAUACGGCUCAGUAACGCGUAGUCAACCUAACCUAUGGACGGGAAUAACCUCGGGAAACUGAGAAUAAUGCCCGAUAGAACAUUAUGCCUGGAAUGGUUUAUGUUCCAAAUGAUUUAUCGCCGUAGGAUGGGACUGCGGCCUAUCAGUUUGUUGGUGAGGUAAUGGCCCACCAAGACUAUUACAGGUACGGGCUCUGAGAGGAGUAGCCCGGAGAUGGGUACUGAGACACGGACCCAGGCCCUAUGGGGCGCAGCAGGCGAGAAAACUUUGCAAUGUGCGAAAGCACGACAAGGUUAAUCCGAGUGGUUUCUGCUAAAGGAAUCUUUUGUUAGUCCUAAAAACACUAGCGAAUAAGGGGUGGGCAAGUUCUGGUGA